UACGUAGGUGACAAGCGUUGUCCGGAUUUACUGGGCGUAAAGAGCGCGCAGGCGGUCGUUCAAGUCGAGUGUGAAAGCCCCCGGCUCAACUGGGGAGGGUCAUUCGAUACUGAUCGACUCGAAGGCAGGAGAGGGAAGUGGAAUUCCCGGUGUAGUGGUGAAAUUCGUAGAUAUUCGGAAGAACACCAGUGGCGAAGGCGACUUACUGGACACAUAUUGACGCUGAGGUGCGAAAGCGUGGGGAGCAAACAGG
RNAcentral lists this ribosomal RNA (253 nucleotides) under uncultured bacterium. Its description in RNAcentral is "partial 16S ribosomal RNA". It matches the Rfam family "Bacterial small subunit ribosomal RNA", at positions 524 to 776 of the family's 1533-position model. The record is from RNAcentral.